CGUCGUCAUAGCGAGACCGGUAACCCGGUUGCUGACAACGGCUGAGUUCGGAUUCAAAUUCUGUGAUGACGGC
RNAcentral lists this transfer RNA (73 nucleotides) under Rubripirellula tenax. RNAcentral describes it as "Planctomycetes bacterium Poly51 tRNA-Val". Lineage: Bacteria; Pseudomonadati; Planctomycetota; Planctomycetia; Pirellulales; Pirellulaceae. The record is from RNAcentral.